CGGGGUGCAGCAGGCGCGAAAACUUUACAAUGCGGGAAACCGUGAUAAGGGGACACCGAGUGCCAGCAUCAUAUGCUGGCUGUCCAGGUGUGUAAAAUACACCUGUCAGCAAGGGCCGGGCAAGACCGGUGCCAGCCGCCGCGGUAACACCGGCGGCCCGAGUGGUGAUCGUGAUUAUUGGGUCUAAAGGGUCCGUAGCCGGUUUGGUCAGUCCUCCGGGAAAUCUGACGGCUCAACCGUUAGGCUUUCGGGGGAUACUGCCAGGCUUGGAACCGGGAGAGGUAAGAGGUACUACAGGGGUAGGAGUGAAAUCUUGUAAUCCCUGUGGACCACCUGUGGCGAAGGCGUCUUACCAGAACGGGUUCGACGGUGAGGGACGAAAGCUGGGGGCACGAACCGGAUUAGAUACCCGGGUAGUCCCAGCCGUAAACGAUGCUCGCUAGGUGUCAGGCAUGGCGCGACCGUGUCUGGUGCCGCAGGGAAGCCGUGAAGCGAGCCACCUGGGAAGUACGGCCGCAAGGCUGAAACUUAAAGGAAUUGGCGGGGGAGCAC
This 552-nucleotide ribosomal RNA is filed under the name uncultured archaeon. Its description in RNAcentral is "bacterial SSU rRNA". It matches the Rfam family "Archaeal small subunit ribosomal RNA", at positions 326 to 879 of the family's 1478-position model. The record is from RNAcentral.